Long non-coding RNA from Phyllostomus discolor (pale spear-nosed bat), 185 nucleotides. RefSeq lists it as uncharacterized. The record is from RefSeq and is a predicted model, not a curated record. The transcript has 3 exons. NCBI's taxonomy places the organism in Eukaryota, Metazoa, Chordata, Mammalia, Chiroptera, Phyllostomidae.
ACGUGUGCAUCUUCAGAUCUCCCUAAAAAAGUGGUAAGUUCUUCCAUCUCACCAAGACUGUUUAUCUAUUAUUCAAAACUCAGUUAAACCCUCAUUGCCUCGUAUUAUUUCAAUUAAAGGCACUAAUGAAAAUGGCCUCACAAUCCUUUAAUUUUAUGAGUCUCCCUAUUGACACUAGAACUAAA